RNAcentral lists this ribosomal RNA (735 nucleotides) under uncultured Corynebacterium sp. Its description in RNAcentral is "bacterial SSU rRNA". It matches the Rfam family "Bacterial small subunit ribosomal RNA", at positions 28 to 776 of the family's 1533-position model. The record is from RNAcentral. Lineage: Bacteria; Bacillati; Actinomycetota; Actinomycetes; Mycobacteriales; Corynebacteriaceae.
GACGAACGCUGGCGGCGUGCUUAACACAUGCAAGUCGAACGGUAAGGCUCCAGCUUGCUGGGGUACACGAGUGGCGAACGGGUGAGUAACACGUGGGUGACCUGCCCUGCACUUCGGGAUAAGCCUGGGAAACUGGGUCUAAUACCGGAUAGGACCGCACUGUGAGGGUGUGGUGGAAAGUUUUUUCGGUGUGGGAUGGGCCCGCGGCCUAUCAGCUUGUUGGUGGGGUAAUGGCCUACCAAGGCGGCGACGGGUAGCCGGCCUGAGAGGGUGGACGGCCACAUUGGGACUGAGACACGGCCCAGACUCCUACGGGAGGCAGCAGUGGGGAAUAUUGCACAAUGGGCGGAAGCCUGAUGCAGCGACGCCGCGUGGGGGAUGACGGCCUUCGGGUUGUAAACUCCUUUCACCAUCGACGAAGGGUUUCUGACGGUAGAUGGAGAAGAAGCACCGGCUAACUACGUGCCAGCAGCCGCGGUAAUACGUAGGGUGCGAGCGUUGUCCGGAAUUACUGGGCGUAAAGAGCUCGUAGGUGGUUUGUCGCGUCGUCUGUGAAAUUCCGGGGCUUAACUCCGGGCGUGCAGGCGAUACGGGCAUAACUUGAGUACUGUAGGGGAGACUGGAAUUCCUGGUGUAGCGGUGAAAUGCGCAGAUAUCAGGAGGAACACCGGUGGCGAAGGCGGGUCUCUGGGCAGUAACUGACGCUGAGGAGCGAAAGCAUGGGGAGCGAACAGG